AUCAAGGGUGAAAGGUUGGGUUAAGGUAUUGAUAGUAAAAUCACUAUCUUCAUAUGGUUGACUAAAUUGGCCUUGUCUAUAAACACCUUCUUGUAUUUUGAUACCUUGCGUAGUAUGUUGUGGUUUUGUAUGUUGGUCAAAUGUUUCUUCUAGUGGUUUAGUCCCAGAGGUUUCUCCUACAAAAGGUCCUUGAUAAUUAGGAAGAGGAAUAGUAGAAUCUUCUGAUAUACUAUUAUCUGGUUGUAUCUCUAUACUAUGUCUUCUCCGAGAUGUAUCUAACGAUUGUCUAGAGGGUUGGUAUAUAUUAGGAGUUGCU
RNAcentral lists this long non-coding RNA (316 nucleotides) under Manihot esculenta (cassava). RNAcentral's name for it is "long non-coding RNA (MESC_LNC010010)". Lineage: Eukaryota; Viridiplantae; Streptophyta; Magnoliopsida; Malpighiales; Euphorbiaceae. The record is from RNAcentral.